UAGACCUGGAUCUCAAGGAGAGC
RNAcentral lists this non-coding RNA (23 nucleotides) under Cricetulus griseus (Chinese hamster). Lineage: Eukaryota; Metazoa; Chordata; Mammalia; Rodentia; Cricetidae. The record is from RNAcentral.